Molecule: non-coding RNA, 2654 nt
Organism: Manis javanica (Malayan pangolin)
Lineage: Eukaryota; Metazoa; Chordata; Mammalia; Pholidota; Manidae
Source: RefSeq, a predicted model, not a curated record
GCUGAGGCUCGGCCAGCCUGUCACCUCCCUGAAGCCCCACAUGAGGGAGCAGCAGGGUUGGCAGUUCAAGGAGCAACGUGUUCACGCCGCAGGAGCUGUGCUGUGCCCAGGCCUGGGACGCAGAGCGUCAGGACAGCCGUCAGGACAGAGCUCACGGGCAUAGGUCUGCCCCCAACCCCGGCCUGGGAGUUAGCCCCGCCUGGAUUCGAGCCCCUCACCUCGGCCAGAGCCCAUCCCCACCCCGGCCCACCUGCCCCCACUUCCCUCCAUCUGCUCAGGGAACUCCCGGCAGGCUCCCGCCCACACAGCCCCCAGGCCCCACCUCCCACCAGGACCCAGCCCUGUAAUCCGAGUUAUUUUUAGCCAAGCCGCAUCCUCCAGGAGAAGCAAAUGGAGGGGAAGCCGCCCCCACGCCGCCAGGAGCUGCUGGCGGAAAAGAUCGAUUAAAACCAGUGCUGUGAGGGCCCUGUGCCAGGCGGGCAGCGGCGCUGAGACCGGCUGAGCCGGCUGUGGGCCUGGCUUCGUGCAGCCGCCCUGGGCAGCUGCUCCUAGCCUGCCCUCUCCUGGCCCUGGCCCUGUGUCCCCACUUCCCUCCCCCUGUGGGCAGCCUCCGUGUGUCCAGGGGAGGAUGGGGGGCAGGGAAGGACCCCCUUAUUGCCCACCUGGACUUCUGGCUGGCCACGCCCUCUCCCAGAGACCACGGGCCAGGCCUCAGGAAGUGCUUGGCAUGAAUGGGUGGUGCCUCACCACAACGUGCGUGGAGCAGGUAGGGCCCUCACCCCUGCGUGGAGGACAGAGGAGCCAUGUGGGCGGUUACUACUGUCAACACAGGAAGAGAUGACAGAAUCACUGCCUACAUUCUCCAGGCUGCACUACCGUCCCCACGACCACCUUACACUACGGCUGAGAAUUUUUGUGCCCCUUUAUCCCCCUCGCCCUCCCACGCGCCCCAACCCCUCCCCCACGGCUCUGCUUUCUCUGUCCUGAAUCCUCUCCAGGGGAAGACACUCCCCAACCCCGCUGCACCGUCAGGAGCUCAGAACCGAGGGGACCCCACCUGCCCAGAGAACCUGGCGGGAAGGGGCAGCCGGGGCCUGGGCCACAGUCACGCAGGCUUGGGAUGUGAGGUCGGGAGGCGAGGUCUGGGAGGCGCAGAGGGCCCGACGUUCGGGCGCCCCCUGCCGGCGCCGCGCCGCGCCAUCGGCGGUCUCAUGCUGCCCCCAUGUGGACGACAGGCUCACGUCCCCGCUGGGCCAGGGGCUCCCAGGGGAAAAUCACUGGCCUGGGCUGUUGAGGGCCUAGCCAGUGACCUGAGGAACGGGCUGCCCUGCCAAGCCUCUGCCCGAACUGUCCUCUCUUCCCAACACACCCUGAGCCCCAGCCUGGCACCGCAUGCUGCCCACUGCCUUUCUCGCACCCACGAGCUUUGAAUCCCAGACUCUUGGAAGGAAGUGAACCUGCUAGUUGCAUAUUUGCCAAUCCUCCAUCCCAUAUUUCAACCUCUAUCCCCAGUAAAUCAACUGCUGCUUGCAUGCACCUCAUAGCAGGGCGCUCACUACCUCUGGAGCAGCCCAUCGGUUUGGAGGAAAUUCUGAUUGUAUAAAUGACACGUUUUAUAAAUGACAGCCAUCAUCUCUGCCUUCUGGGGCCACAAAGAACCAGGUGGCCUCUCACAUGGGAAUUCCGAUGCCAGUCCAACGCCCAGCCCAGUGCUGAAGGGCCUCCUCCUCUGCCCCGGACCUUCUCUCCUACUGUCUCCUUCGCUCACAGCCGCCCCUGCCUGGCACACUGGAGGACCCUGUCUCUCUGAACUUCACGACUGAGGGGCCCCAGCACCCCUGAGGACUGGCACUGGCCCUCCCUUGGAUCCUGUCAUUUUUUACAGUCACCUGUCACUCCCGAGGCCUCCUGGAGAAAAAGCUCAGAGGGACUAAUGACUGAGCACCUAAGGUGUACUCAGCGUAGUUCAGCUUUGCUCAUAUUAACCAGUUUAACCCCACAAGGCAACUAGUACUUUGAUCCCCAGUUACACUGAGCACUGAGGCUUAGAGCACAAAGAUCUGGACCCCAUAGAAGAGCUGACUCCUGUCUCUGUGAAACCCCUCCAGGCCGACUGGCUGCUCACCCACCAACUCUGCCUUCUGCCUGUGAAAUGCAUACACUUAAUUUCUCAAACAUUUCUCAGGUCCUCCCAUGCACCAGGGACUGUGCCAGACGCAACUGUGUCCGACCCUGUUACUUAGCUGGGUAGGCCCCACUGGGUCUCACUUGGGCUGGGGCUCUGGACAAGGCUGGGCCAAGACAAUGCUGCCGAAGGCCUUGGGGCUCUGGCAGAUCCCACCCCGCCUGGCCUGGUCUGAGGUGGGUCUGCUCACUGAAGCCUCACGUCUCUCCCUGCCUUGCGGUUCAAGGCAUAUGGGAGGGACACGGUUGAUGGACACACUGUUGAGCCUGGCUAGCAGCGUCUGCCCAGGGCUCUGCCGCAGAGGACAUCCACGUGGGCUCGAGCUGCUCCCUCACGGAGCGUGGCUGUCUGGGUCCUGGAGGAAGGGUUGAACUCUUCACCGCUUUUGUGUCGAGGACUCCUUUGACAUCUGGUGAUGUUUACUGACUUCUUCUCAGAAUAAUGUUUUUAAGUGUGCAAAAUAAAAUUA